RNAcentral lists this ribosomal RNA (374 nucleotides) under uncultured bacterium. Its description in RNAcentral is "bacterial SSU rRNA". It matches the Rfam family "Bacterial small subunit ribosomal RNA", at positions 28 to 404 of the family's 1533-position model. The record is from RNAcentral.
GACGAACGCUGGCGGCGUGCUUAACACAUGCAAGUCGAGCGGUAAGGCCCUUUCGGGGUACGACGAGCGGCGAACGGGUGAGUAACACGUGGGUGACCUGCCUUUAGCUCUGGGAUAAGCCUGGGAAACUGGGUCUAAUACCGGAUAUGACUCCGCGGUGCAUGCUGUGGGGUGGAAAGCCUUGUGCGGCUGGAGAUGGGCCCGCGGCCUAUCAGCUUGUUGGUGGGGUGAUGGCCUACCAAGGCGACGACGGUAGCCGGCCUGAGAGGGCGACCGGCCACACUGGGACUGAGACACGGCCCAGACUCCUACGGGAGGCAGCAGUGGGGAAUCUUGCGCAAUGGGCGAAAGCCUGACGCAGCGACGCCGCGUGA